UACGUGGGGUGCAAGCGUUAAUCGGAAUUACUGGGCGUAAAGCGUGCGCAGGCGGUUUUGUAAGUCUGUCGUGAAAUCCCCGGGCUCAACCUGGGAAUUGCGAUGGAGACUGCAAGGCUAGAAUCUGGCAGAGGGGGGUAGAAUUCCACGUGUAGCAGUGAAAUGCGUAGAGAUGUGGAGGAACACCGAUGGCGAAGGCAGCCCCCUGGGUCAAGAUUGACGCUCAUGCACGAAAGCGUGGGGAGCAAACAGG
This 253-nucleotide ribosomal RNA is filed under the name uncultured bacterium. RNAcentral describes it as "partial 16S ribosomal RNA". It matches the Rfam family "Bacterial small subunit ribosomal RNA", at positions 524 to 776 of the family's 1533-position model. The record is from RNAcentral.